Sapajus apella (tufted capuchin) is the source of this 3291-nucleotide long non-coding RNA. RefSeq lists it as uncharacterized. The record is from RefSeq and is a predicted model, not a curated record. Lineage: Eukaryota; Metazoa; Chordata; Mammalia; Primates; Cebidae. The transcript is spliced from 2 exons.
CAAAUGAUCUGCCUGCCUCACCCUCGCAAAGUGCUGGGAUUACAGGCAUGAGCCACCAUGCCCAGCUUUCUUUUCCCUAAUUUUAGCUAGAGAGUCAUCAACUGUUUCUGGAUUUGCUACAAUAUAUUUAAACAGUACUUAGGUGAGUUCCAGUCAUCAAAGAACUGGGGAUACCACUGUUAGAAGUCCCACUCUUUUUCACUUUUGCAGAAAAAUUGCCAGUUAAAGUAGAAUGGUAAAGAGGUAAGGAAAAGGAAUGACAUUUUAUAAUUUAUGGAAAUUUUUCAUGGCGUGGAUUUUAGACAUAAGAUGUGCUUUAAUAUGUGUGUGUAAGUAUUUUAUGAUUGUACAUAUUGGAAGAACUAUUUCCUGCCCCCUUCCCCCAACACACGAACCAUCACUACCACCACCCUGAUAAUUCUGCUUAUGCUUAGAUUACAAUUUAAUAAAUAAAUUUAGGUUUGCCAGUUGAUUGUACUAAAUUUGUUUAUAUGGAGAAGUGUGUACAUUUACUCAUGCCUUUGCACUUUUCCCAAAUAAUUUCCAAGGGCAUGUGGAAAGAUUGGAAAAGUCUCUGUCUUCCCCAUUUUUCUUUGAUAAGACAGAAGAGGCAUGUUUGUUUCAAGUUACAAAUCAUUAACUAUUUAUUAAAUACCUUUUAUGUAGUAGUUAUGGAUCAAUAAUAAAUUGAUAUAUUAUUUACUGAUGAAACAUUAAGAGAUAUUAAUUGAUAAAAAUAAUGAGGUUAAGGAGUAUUCAGUUAACUCACUAACUUAUUCCCCUGAAUCUCCAUAGAAAAUCUUGGAAGGCUUAAUGUAGUAAGUCUUUAUGUAAUCUAUAGAUACAAAUCAAUUGACUUUUUAUUUCAAACCAUAUUUCUAGUUUGAAGAGCUCAGUAUAAAAUUGAAAUAAACUUACUGUUAGGGCUAUGGACUUUGUUAUACUAUAAAAGACGAUAGAAACAUUUUUGAAAUUGAGUAAUUUUUCUUGUAAAUAUAAAUACAGCUUUGGUAAUUGAGUUUUUAUUAACAACUGUAUCGUAAUACAUUCAAAAGGAUAAUGUUCCUUCUCUGUUUAUAACCUGUAUGUUAGAGCUAUCCAGCAGAGCUUUCUGUGGUCAUAGAUAUGUUAUGUCUCUUCUCUGACCAAUGCAUUAGCCUCUGGUUCCAUGUGGCUAUUAAGCACUUGAAACAUCGCUAAUGUGUCUCAGAAACUAAUUUGAUUUAAUUUUAUUAAUAUAAAUUAAAAUUAAAAUAGCUACCUAUGAUUAAUUGCUACCAUUUUGGGCAGUGCAGCUGGAAAUGAAUAUUAGUAUUACCAAGAGAAAGAGAAAAGUGGUCUUGGAUUUUCAAAUAUGAGUAAAAUCUUAGUCUUUACAUUUUGAUAUUUUUGAAUUUACAAAAUAAUAGCUAGAAACCGUCACAAGAAAGGUACUUGUUCAGUUAGGAUAUGUCACAUAUGGUUUAUUUUUACUUUCAGGCAUUUUGAGAAUGUACAAUUUAUUUUAACUACUUCUGUUAAAUUUUUGCUGAAAUUUUGUCAUAAAUGUUUCAAAAUUAAAGCAAAAGUCCUUUAGAAUAGUCUGUUAUAUCAAGGGCUAUUUUAUAUAAGACAUUUUUGCUAAUAUUUUCUAGAAAUAUUAAGUAGAUAAGAAUUUUUUUUUUGUUUCUGGAAUUAGUGUUUACUAUAUUUUCUCCCAGUGAUAUAGACCAGUGUGGGCCACAUACCUAGGCUAUUCUGGAACUGGUCCCUGUGAAAUGAUAUCACCAAUUGGAAAUAUUUUAUUAAGUGUUUCAUAACUCUUGGUUUACAAACCUGUCACACCUUUUCUUUUUGGGGAUUUAAAAUAGAUUAUUAUAACUGUUGACUUUUCAAAUAAUUCUUUAAAGACUGUAUUGAUGAUUCACAAUCUUUUCCUUAUUUUCGAAAAAUAGCUUUUGUCGAAACUGAGGAAACUAUCCUAGCAGGAGGGAAAGGUAGAUUUCCCUGGGGAAGAUGACUUAAAAGUUACUGACUGGAAAAUGAAAGCAUUUGCAUAAUACUAGCUCAUAAGUAAACUCACAUCAUCAAAAGUAAUAUAAUUUUUCUUGCCCUUUAUUAUUUACUUGGAUCUACCAUAGGUUUUUUGCUUGUUUUUCCAGUAUUAUUUCGCUAUGAUUGCCAAACUUUGUAUGCAUUUAAGGCGUACAACGUAAUGAUAUAUGUGUAUUUUGUGAAAUGAUUACCAAAAUCACACUAAUUAAACACAUCCAUCACCUUACACAGUUACCAUUGUGUGUGUUCACACAAAUACAAAAUGUAAUACAAAAUACAAAACUAAAUACAAAAAAAGAAUUAUAAACCAUCAUCUUCCUAUUUAAAAAAACUAAAAACCUGUGAGCUAUAAAUUAGUCUUGGAAUUACUACCAUUAGUUGCCUAAUGUUGUCUGCAUUCUACUAGAAUUAAUUGUGUGUGUGUGUGUCUGUUUUAUUGAGAACGUUUAAGAUCUCUCUUAGCACCUUUUUGGUGUACUAUACAGUAUUAUUAGCUGUAGUCACUAUUUGUACAAUAGAUCUCCAGAACUUAUUCAUCCUACGUAACUGAAACUUUGUAUCCUUCGACCAUCUUCCCAUUCCUCCCACACCUCAGCUCCUGGAAAGCACCAUUCUCUGUGCUUUACAAAUUUGACUUUUUAAGAUUCCGUAUAUCAGUGAGGUCAUGCAGUAUUUGUCUUUCUGUGCCUCACUUAUUUAACUUAGGAUAACAUUCUCCAGGUUCCUGCAUGUUGUUGGAAAUGACAAUGUCCUUUUUUUUUUUUUUUAAAGCUGUUAACAUUCCAUUACACAGACACACACAUCAUUUUCUUCAUCCGUUCAUUUCUCAGUGCACACUUCGGUUCAUUCCUACCUUGGCUAUUGUGAAUAAUGCUGCACUGAAUGUGAAAGUGCAGAUCUCUCUUCAAGAGAGUGAUUUUAUUUCCUUUGGUUAUAUCUACCCAGAAGUGGUACUGCUAGAUCAUAUGGUAGUUUUAUUUUUAAUUUUUUGAGGAAUCUGCCAUAGUUUUAAGUUGAACAUAUUAUAUGGAAACAACUGAAAUUUGUAAUUUUCCAGCAUAUUAGCCCUAGAGCCAAAUUUCUACUUAUUACUUGCAUCAUCUCUCUUAGUGCUGUGCUGCUUCUUUUGUAGCAAAGAAAGGUAACUUUUUGGGGGAUAUAUUUUCUUAAAAGGACUUAUGCUUUAAGUUAUUCAAGCAGCUGACUGUAUAUUUCAUUCAAGUGAGACUUCUUCAUUUUAAUAUAUUGACUGUUGAG